Molecule: ribosomal RNA, 464 nt
Filed under: uncultured Klebsiella sp.
Lineage: Bacteria; Pseudomonadati; Pseudomonadota; Gammaproteobacteria; Enterobacterales; Enterobacteriaceae
Description: bacterial SSU rRNA
Rfam family: Bacterial small subunit ribosomal RNA
Source: RNAcentral
CCUACGGGAGGCUGCAGUGGGGAAUAUUGCACAAUGGGCGCAAGCCUGAUGCAGCCAUGCCGCGUGUGUGAAGAAGGCCUUCGGGUUGUAAAGCACUUUCAGCGGGAGGAAGGCGUUAAGGUUAAUAACCUUGGCGAUUGACGUUACCCGCAGAAGAAGCACCGGCUAACUCCGUGCCAGCAGCCGCGGUAAUACGGAGGGUGCAAGCGUUAAUCGGAAUUACUGGGCGUAAAGCGCACGCAGGCGGUCUGUCAAGUCGGAUGUGAAAUCCCCGGGCUCAACCUGGGAACUGCAUUCGAAACUGGCAGGCUAGAGUCUUGUAGAGGGGGGUAGAAUUCCAGGUGUAGCGGUGAAAUGCGUAGAGAUCUGGAGGAAUACCGGUGGCGAAGGCGGCCCCCUGGACAAAGACUGACGCUCAGGUGCGAAAGCGUGGGGAGCAAACAGGAUUAGAUACCCGGGUAGUC